This 432-nucleotide ribosomal RNA is filed under the name Salmonella enterica subsp. enterica serovar Newport. RNAcentral's name for it is "partial 23S ribosomal RNA". It matches the Rfam family "Bacterial large subunit ribosomal RNA", at positions 1 to 474 of the family's 2925-position model. Lineage: Bacteria; Pseudomonadati; Pseudomonadota; Gammaproteobacteria; Enterobacterales; Enterobacteriaceae. The record is from RNAcentral.
GUUAUAUGGUCAAGUGAAGAAGCGCAUACGGUGGAUGCCUUGGCAGUCAGAGGCGAUGAAAGACGUGGUAGCCUGCGAAAAGCUUCGGGGAGUCGGCAAACAGACUUUGAUCCGGAGAUCUCUGAAUGGGGGAACCCACCUAGGAUAACCUAGGUAUCUUGUACUGAAUCCAUAGGUGCAAGAGGCGAACCAGGGGAACUGAAACAUCUAAGUACCCUGAGGAAAAGAAAUCAACCGAGAUUCCCUUAGUAGUGGCGAGCGAACGGGGAUUAGCCCUUAAGCUUCAUUGAUUUUAGCGGAACGCUCUGGAAAGUGCGGCCAUAGUGGGUGAUAGCCCCGUACGCGAAAGGAUCUUUGAAGUGAAAUCGAGUAGGACGGAGCACGAGAAACUUUGUCUGAACAUGGGGGGACCAUCCUCCAAGGCUAAAUACU